GUGGGGGAUAUUGCACAAUGGAGGAAACUCUGAUGCAGCGACGCCGCGUGAGUGAAGAAGUAUUUCGGUAUGUAAAGCUCUAUCAGCAGGGAAGAUAAUGACAGUUCCUGACUAAGAAGCCCCGGCUAACUACGUGCCAGCAGCCGCGGUAAUACGUAGGGGGCAAGCGUUAUCCGGAUUUACUGGGUGUAAAGGGAGCGUAGACGGAAUGGCAAGUCUGAAGUGAACUCCUGCGGCUUAACUGCAGAAUUGCUUUGGAAACUGUCAAUCUGGAGUGUUGGAGAGGUAAGCGGAAUUCCUGGUGUAGCGGUGAAAUGCGUAGAUAUCAGGAAGAACACCGGAGGCGAAGGCGGCUUACUGGACAAUAACUGACGUUGAGGCUCGAAAGCGUGGGAAGCAAACAGGAUUAGAAACCCUGGUAGUCC
RNAcentral lists this ribosomal RNA (425 nucleotides) under uncultured bacterium. Its description in RNAcentral is "partial 16S ribosomal RNA". It matches the Rfam family "Bacterial small subunit ribosomal RNA", at positions 354 to 796 of the family's 1533-position model. The record is from RNAcentral.